CGAAAACUUUACAAUGCCGGCAACGGCGAUAAGGGAACCUCGAGUGCCAGGUUACAAAUCUGGCUGUCGUGAUGCCUAAAAAGCAUUGCAUAGCAAGGGCCGGGCAAGACCGGUGCCAGCCGCCGCGGUAACACCGGCGGCUCGAGUGGUAACCGUUAUUAUUGGGUCUAAAGGGUCUGUAGCCGGCCGGGUAAGUCUCUUGGGAAAUCUGGCAGCUUAACUGUCAGGCUUUCAGGAGAUACUGCCUGGCUCGAGGCCGGGAGAGGUGAGAGGUACUUCAGGGGUAGGGGUGAAAUCUUGUAAUCCUUGAAGGACCACCAGUGGCGAAGGCGUCUCACCAGAACGGACCUGACGGCAAGGGACGAAAGCUAGGGGCACGAACCGGAUUAGAUACCCGGGUAGUCCUAGCCGUAAACGAUACUCGCUAGGUGUCGGCCACGGUGCGACCGUGGUCGGUGCCGUAGGGAAGCCGUGAAGCGAGCCACCUGGGAAGUACGGCCGCAAGGCUGAAACUUAAAGGAAUUGGCGGGGGAGCAC
RNAcentral lists this ribosomal RNA (537 nucleotides) under uncultured archaeon. RNAcentral's name for it is "bacterial SSU rRNA". It matches the Rfam family "Archaeal small subunit ribosomal RNA", at positions 342 to 879 of the family's 1478-position model. The record is from RNAcentral.